AAAGGGGCAUGCACGUGUACAGCAAAAGAAGAGAGCCAGUCUUGAAAUCAGUACAUACCUGGGUUUUCUUCUUCAGUUGAAGAUACUAAGUUGCUGUCUAUGAUGCAGCUCAGCACAGAAGGCUCUCAGUGUAGCCCUCAGCUCCUGAUAGGUUGCCUCGUUACUCAUGCACCAAGCUGGGUGGGUAGUCCACCAUGUGGCUUGCCUUGGCUAAAACAUCUUUACCUUCUAAAUACUUAAAAUGGUUGCCUAGAAAGCUUUCACUGUGAUAGCAUCUUUCUCUACUGCCACUCCAAAGUCAUUUGUAUCCUUGACCUUGGGGAUGAACUGCUAGGUCCAUGUCAUUAUCAAGUCCACUCUUGUGUUUCCAUAUCGAUGUGCAUGGGUAGGUAGGGGUCAUGAAUGUUUAGUGAGGCAUAGAGGAGGGAAGGGUCUUCUUUCAAGAGCACUCACACUUAGGAUCUCUCACACAUAUCUCUUUAACUUCAUAGUUUCUUCAAAUGGAUUUUUUCUGAUAACACCCACUGCUUGGCUAUGCUGCUUUAGCUGCUAAAUUUUCUGUUUUGUUUUCUGGAUGCUUGAGGUGCAGUUCUGUGGACCAGCAAUGAUGGUGCUGCCUGAGACCUGAGAUGCACAUCUACAGGCAGGACACAGGAUCUGAUGACUCCAAACCUCCAUUUUAACGAGACCCUGGAAGACCGGUUACAGCAUGCUUUGAGGAGAAACUCCUAAUGACACAAAAGCAGCAGUCUUAGAGUAUGCCACAGGACACAUUUCUGCUGUAGAGGAUUUGUUGUGUAUUGUAUGGAAGCCUCACUUGUCAAUAAAAAGCUGACAGCCUGUUAGCUGAGGGUGGCAGCCCUGGUAGGGAAGAAGAACUCUGGGAUAAUCAGGUGAGGGGACAGAAUUGCCCCUAGCCAUGUGGCACUCACAGAACUGAAUAAAUGGUUGGUUAAGCUACAAGCUGGUCUGAACAAGCGCAAGCUUAUAAGAAUUAUAAUUCAGUGUCAUUUUAAGUU
Molecule: long non-coding RNA, 1019 nt
Organism: Grammomys surdaster
Lineage: Eukaryota; Metazoa; Chordata; Mammalia; Rodentia; Muridae
Exons: 2
Source: RefSeq, a predicted model, not a curated record